Molecule: long non-coding RNA, 267 nt
Organism: Oreochromis niloticus (Nile tilapia)
Lineage: Eukaryota; Metazoa; Chordata; Actinopteri; Cichliformes; Cichlidae
Exons: 2
Source: RefSeq, a predicted model, not a curated record
GAAGCAUUUUGUAGCUGUUGUCUGGUUGCCUCUGUACCCCUCCUCUCUCACACAUCUGGUCCCCAAACUAAAGGAGGACCUCCCAUUCAGGCAGUUUCGGCUGGACUCUGCGGCACCCACUUCUCCUCAAAGGCACGUGAACUUCUCGUGGCCAUUUUAACCCUUACAAACUGUUCUGGUCAGAUUUGACAACAUCAAAAAUGUCAUGGUUUUUCCUGAAAUUUGAUUGAUUGUUCUUGAGUGACCCAAAAAUACUAAUUUUAGACG